RNAcentral lists this ribosomal RNA (1346 nucleotides) under uncultured bacterium. Its description in RNAcentral is "partial 16S ribosomal RNA". It matches the Rfam family "Bacterial small subunit ribosomal RNA", at positions 28 to 1381 of the family's 1533-position model. The record is from RNAcentral.
GACGAACGUUGGCGGCGUGCUUAACACAUGCAAGUCGAACGGAAAGGCCCUGCUUUUGUGGGGUGCUCGAGUGGCGAACGGGUGAGUAACACGUGAGUAACCUGCCCUUGACUUUGGGAUAACUUCAGGAAACUGGGGCUAAUACCGGAUAGGAGCUCCUGCUGCAUGGUGGGGGUUGGAAAGUUUCGGCGGUUGGGGAUGGACUCGCGGCUUAUCAGCUUGUUGGUGGGGUAGUGGCUUACCAAGGCUUUGACGGGUAGCCGGCCUGAGAGGGUGACCGGCCACAUUGGGACUGAGAUACGGCCCAGACUCCUACGGGAGGCAGCAGUGGGGAAUAUUGCACAAUGGGCGGAAGCCUGAUGCAGCAACGCCGCGUGCGGGAUGACGGCCUUCGGGUUGUAAACCGCUUUCGCCUGUGACGAAGCGUGAGUGACGGUAAUGGGUAAAGAAGCACCGGCUAACUACGUGCCAGCAGCCGCGGUGAUACGUAGGGUGCGAGCGUUGUCCGGAUUUAUUGGGCGUAAAGGGCUCGUAGGUGGUUGAUCGCGUCGGAAGUGUAAUCUUGGGGCUUAACCCUGAGCGUGCUUUCGAUACGGGUUGACUUGAGGAAGGUAGGGGAGAAUGGAAUUCCUGGUGGAGCGGUGGAAUGCGCAGAUAUCAGGAGGAACACCAGUGGCGAAGGCGGUUCUCUGGGCCUUUCCUGACGCUGAGGAGCGAAAGCGUGGGGAGCGAACAGGCUUAGAUACCCUGGUAGUCCACGCUGUAAACGGUGGGUACUAGGUGUGGGGUCCAUUCCACGGGUUCCGUGCCGUAGCUAACGCUUUAAGUACCCCGCCUGGGGAGUACGGCCGCAAGGCUAAAACUCAGAGGAAUUGACGGGGCCCCGCACAAGCGGCGGAGCAUGCGGAUUAAUUCGAUGCAACGCGUAGAACCUUACCUGGGUUUGACAUGGAUCGGGAGUGCUCAGAGAUGGGUGUGCCUCUUUUGGGGUCGGUUCACAGGUGGUGCAUGCCUGUCGUCAGCUCGUGUCGUGAGAUGUUGGGUUAAGUCCCGCAACGAGCGCAACCCUUGUUCACUGUUGCCAGCACGUUAUGGUGGGGACUCAGUGGAGACCGCCGGGGUCAACUCGGAGGAAGGUGGGGAUGACGUCAAGUCAUCAUGCCCCUUAUGUCCAGGGCUUCACGCAUGCUACAAUGGCUGGUACAGAGAGUGGCGAGCCUGUGAGGGUGAGCGAAUCUCGGAAAGCCGGUCUCAGUUCGGAUUGGGGUCUGCAACUCGACCUCAUGAAGUCGGAGUCGCUAGUAAUCGCAGAUCAGCAACGCUGCGGUAAAUACGUUCCCGGGGCU